This 345-nucleotide unclassified non-coding RNA is filed under the name soil metagenome. RNAcentral's name for it is "partial contains 5.8S ribosomal RNA, internal transcribed spacer 2, and large subunit ribosomal RNA". The stretch from base 1 to 119 matches the Rfam family "5.8S ribosomal RNA", at positions 35 to 154 of the family's 154-position model. The record is from RNAcentral.
GAUGAAGAACGUAGCAAAAUGCGAUACGUAAUGUGAAUUGCAAAUUCAGUGAAUCAUCGAGUCUUUGAACGCACAUUGCGCCCCCGGGUAUUCCGGGGGGCAUGCCUGUCCGAGCGUCAUUGCUGCCCUCAAGCACGGCUUGUGUGUUGGGCCCCGUCCUCCGAUCCCGGGGGACGGGCCCGAAAGGCAGCGGCGGCACCGCGUCCGGUCCUCGAGCGUAUGGGGCUUUGUCACCCGCUCUGUAGGCCCGGCCGGCGCUUGCCGAUCAACCCAAAUUUUUAUCCAGGUUGACCUCGGAUCAGGUAGGGAUACCCGCUGAACUUAAGCAUAUCAAUAAGCGGAGGA